AAUGAAUAAUGAUAUGACUGAGUGGCGGACGGGUGAGUAACGCGUGAGCAACCUGCCCUUCGGAGGGGGACAACAGUUGGAAACGACUGCUAAUACCGCAUGACACAUUGGGGUCGCAUGGCCUUGAUGUCAAAGAUUUAUCGCUGAAAGAUGGCCUCGCGUCUGAUUAGAUAGUUGGUGAGGUAACGGCCCACCUAGUCAACGAUGGAUAGGGGUUCUGAGAGGAAGGUCCCCACAUUGGAACUGAGACACGGUCCAUACUCC
Molecule: ribosomal RNA, 264 nt
Filed under: uncultured bacterium
Lineage: Bacteria
Description: partial 16S ribosomal RNA
Rfam family: Bacterial small subunit ribosomal RNA
Source: RNAcentral